Molecule: long non-coding RNA, 2830 nt
Organism: Lycium ferocissimum
Lineage: Eukaryota; Viridiplantae; Streptophyta; Magnoliopsida; Solanales; Solanaceae
Exons: 3
Source: RefSeq, a predicted model, not a curated record
UGCGACUGGAUGCAGAUAUUUGUGCUUUUUCUCUUUUGUUCUUUUUAGUUGGGGUGGGGUUGGGGGCUCUAUGGUGGGCUUCAAUCUUCGAGAACCUUUUCUGACGUUAGCUAAGCUGCUUCCCUUGUCCUUGUUGGCCUUCUCAUUCUUUAUGGCCUAUAUAAUAUUAUAUUCUUUUGUUCAUAUUAAAUGAGCUCCUAUUUUACUCAACUAAUAUCACAUAUUCCUCUUCCUUUCUGUCAUUCCAUUCUAGGAAUUAUUAGAUUAGAGAGUAAGCCAAUAAUGCUCGCUAAAAAUCUGAUUAUGUUUUCGAAUGUUAAUGGAUUCAUUGGACCAAGUCAAACUGAUACUUUUUACCAAUUAAGACUUAUAGUCCAAUGUUAAGACUCCAAAGCCUAGGGGGUUGUGUGGAAAUAUUCAAGUGAUAUUACAUCUAUGUCAUAUUAUGUCAACUUGAACUUUAAGAAAUGAUAACUAAUGGUGUUUGAUAGUAAAAGACAUGAUAACAAAGGUCUAGCCCUGAUCUUGGUGUCUCACGGUAUAUAUUUAUUUGGAUACAUGAUAUUUAAGUUUAGUAAUUCCUUUACCUUAAAAGCUCUGUCUACCUACUAUAUGGCCAAUUUGAGCCGCACUCUAUGGCAUUGUCUUCCCACCGUUCACUAUGCAUUUACUCCGUUCGGAGAUUCCAAAGGAUCAUUUAAAAAAAAGUAGAAGUGAGUUGCAAGCGCAUAAAACAUAUUAACAAUUUUAACGAUAGUUUUCCCGGUUGGUCACUCUUAAUUACAAUAUCUUUUUUAUAAGUAGAAUAUGCUCUCAGUGAGACUUGACAAAUAAGAUCAUAUGUUUGAGAGACGAUUGUUCAUACAUCAAUAAAAUUUAAGAAGUGUGGUAAUUAGUUGAGAAGAAAUUAAGUGAUCCUUUCCAAAUUGUUUGGAUCAAGGAGUGAAUCAAAAGCUGGGUCUAUAUUGGAUCUUCAUCUGAUUCCCUCAUAUAUUUUCCUCAGGUAAAACGUGCUCAACCCUUGGCUUGACCGGGAGGGGUUAGCCUAGAUUUUAUGCCUCUGAAUUAUGAAUCUUUUACGUGGUUCCACUUGAGGAACUUGUAGUAGCACAACGUGCAUUAUAUUCAGUUAAUUUCUGCUAAAUUUGUUGAAGAAAAUGAUGUGGUCUUGUUCAACAUCGAAAACGUAUCAAGUAAAAUGGAUCUCCUAGUUAAAAAUUUCAUCAUGUACUUAGCUACAUCUAGCAACCAUCCUCGAAAAUUCUAAAGUUUCAACUCCGCAUAUUGUAUGGUUUUAGGUUCUUAGUAGUAAAUGACAACAUUUUGUAUUAUAUUUUGCAUAGCUUUUCGCCUCCUUGACGGCUAGAAGUUCUCCAAAAGUAGGAAAUGGAUAGGAUAAAAUUUCUUGAACUUACUGUAUGAUUUAUGUCAUCUUUCUUUCUUCCCCAAGAAAAUGCUACUAGUGAAACAGUGCAGUCAAGUCAAUAGUAGCCACAACAAGAUAUUGAUAGAUAAUAAUUGUUCGUAUUUCUUGUGCCAAACCUCUAGUAUUCGACGUACCUUUUUAAUAGAAAAAAGGUGGGAUUAGGCACAAGCUAAGUUUUGCAUUUUCGUCUUUGAGAGAAUUAAUAGUCAUAAUGAGCAAAGACAAGGAGUUGAUCAAGGUGGUUAGACCCAUACUUUUAAAAGCUCCUAUCAUAAAAAUGUAUGGUUCCAUUUACGUUGUAUGUUGUUUCUACUCUGAUUAAAUUUAGGUGACGGUUACAUCUACAAAAUUUGUCAUCACCAAAGCAGAGAUAGUACUAAAAACAAGUACAUAAUUUGCUCAAGGAGUGGUACUCCUUUAAACAUUAAUCCUUGUAUGGGUUCCACAAGAAUAGUUUAUCUAGUAACACGAUGUUUCUACAUAAUUUCGUAAAGGGAACCAUUCUAUGGUCGUUAACAUAACCUUUCAAGUAAGCUUACAACAAAGUUAAACCUCCUUCAAAUAUGUUCAAUCAAAACUUUUCUAGUAUUAGUCACAAAAUUUGCUCAAAGGGUGUCAUGUGUUGACUAUUUUUAAUGGGAUUUAGUCAAACCUCGCUAGUAUUUUCUUCCACGUGUAUUAACCGUAUUAGGUGUAUUGGAAAAAUGCUCUUUGAAGUUCUUUAAACAAGUUAAGGUUACCCCAAGAUUUAUAGUUAAAUGAUCUUGUAAUCCCUUAUCCUUCAUUCUUAUUUCAUUUUGCUCAGUAGUCUUAAUAUCUUAUAUUUACAUCUUGUGGUGUCGCAUUAAGGAUUAGAUCAUUACUAUUUGUUUUUUUACUUUGUAGAUUUUAUUGGAAAGAUAUAAUUGUCAACAAAUAUUUUGUUAAAUUACAGUCUCACAACAAAUUUAAUAUUAUAUUAUGUGGACGUGCUAUUUGUUUUGGCUUCUAAACAAAUGGAUUAGGAGUUUGGUUUUUAAUGAAGCCGUAUAUUUCGAAUUCAACAAUUUAUUGAGUGAAGAAUCUAGAUGUAGGAAAUACGAAAAAACAAACGUAAUAGGAUAUUAAAAAGGACAUAUUGUGCCUUAGGCCUCAUUUGUUUGCAUAUAAUGGAGGUCUAAGUCUAAAUUAUUUGGAUCUCAGUUCAUUUGGUGCAUUUGCUUUUCUUUUUAGAAAACAUCUUAAUAGAUUUGAAUGGAUCAGAUUAGGUCUAUAACAAAGUCUUAACAUCAUUCAGACCUCAAAAAUACACGUUUCUUCUCUCUUAGAAUCAUGUUGGUCUUUUCUCUCUGAAAAAAAUAAUAAUUCACAACACUCUCUCUUAGACAUGCUUUCUUCAAAUAUUCUCGCCCUACUCUUGAUUUG